ACCAUUCUACCUCCAUGUGAGAUCUCAUUCAAGCUCUAUCACUUAUCCUAAACCAUAUGGUGCAGAUUUCAAAUGAUUGCUUUUGUUAUUAUAGUAUUUAACAAUGUACUCUAAGACCAAAAUCCUUAUUAUUACAACAUGCAAAAAGUAUAGUUAAUAAAAAAUACAGUAAUCACAAGAGUUUCAACUUUGAUGGCAAAAAAAAAAUCUAUAGCAGUCAAGGAAAAUAAAAUUUUAAAAAUUUAAACUGAGAUUCAUGACUCCAUAACCGCUGCAGUUAAUGGCAAGAUUUCAAACUAAUUAUAUAUUUUAAAUAUAAAAAAUGCCAUGCAAUGUAAAAAUACAAAUAUAAAUCAGUCUCUUGCAAAAAGGUAAUUGAUAAGUUUAGAACAA
Molecule: long non-coding RNA, 393 nt
Filed under: Sorghum bicolor (sorghum)
Lineage: Eukaryota; Viridiplantae; Streptophyta; Magnoliopsida; Poales; Poaceae
Description: long non-coding RNA (SBIC_LNC013734)
Source: RNAcentral